GGGGGCGUAGCUCAGAUGAUAGAGCGCUCGCUUAGCAUGCGAAAUGCACAGGGAUCGACACACGGUGCCUCCA
Molecule: non-coding RNA, 73 nt
Organism: Dryococelus australis
Lineage: Eukaryota; Metazoa; Arthropoda; Insecta; Phasmatodea; Phasmatidae
Source: the annotation of a GenBank genome assembly